UAUUAGCACGGGCGAUGCCAGCCCCAUA
This 28-nucleotide small RNA is filed under the name Bombyx mori (domestic silkworm). RNAcentral's name for it is "ovarian small RNA-24107". The record is from RNAcentral. Lineage: Eukaryota; Metazoa; Arthropoda; Insecta; Lepidoptera; Bombycidae.